This is a long non-coding RNA of Vicia villosa (hairy vetch), 879 nucleotides long. RefSeq lists it as uncharacterized. NCBI's taxonomy places the organism in Eukaryota, Viridiplantae, Streptophyta, Magnoliopsida, Fabales, Fabaceae. The transcript has 3 exons. The record is from RefSeq and is a predicted model, not a curated record.
UUAAUUCUCUUCGAUGUUCAUCCGAUUCACUUCCUAAAUCCAAACCAAAUCACAAACCCUAGAUCUAGAGAGAAACCAAAUCAACCGCUAAUGGCUACGAAUUGCGGAUCAAGAUCAUGGGGAAAGCGCUCGGGAAUGCUAGUACUACACCGUAACAUCAAGAAAACAGAAAAAUAUGGAGGUGGAGAAGGUGAUCCGAAAACUUACCUGGAUGAAGAUCAAGAGUGAGAUGAACGAAAAUGGUGGAGCUUCCGGUGCAAACUCGAGCGAAAUAAACGCAACGAGCAGAGAGUUUCUUCAGGUUUGGAUGAUUGCAGGUGAAGAUGAGAUUAUGGAGAGGUUGCGAAUCUAUUGAAAUGAAGAAUGGUGUUGAUCGAUACUGACGGAAUUGAAGGCUCUGCAGAAACCGAUGGAGAUUGAAGUGGUGAGAAGGUUGAAGAACAAUGAAGAGAGAUUCAGAGAUGGUUGAUGAUGAAGAUUGAAGAAGAUUAAAGAGUUGGAGAGUAUUGAAGAACAGUGUGAUUGGAAGAAGGAUGAUGGAGGAUGUUGAUGGAGAGUGGUGAAGAAGAUGAUUGGAGAAGACUGAAGAAUGUGAAAGAAUGGAUCCAGAGCCUCAAAUGGUGAAGCAAGCUAUGAUUUUAUAGUAGUGGAGGAGAUUCAAUUUCUGAGGUAACUUCCUUUCUCUUCUUCUGUUAAUCUGUUAAGAGUUGUGUAACUGAUUUUUUCGAGGUUGUUAGGGUUCUGUUAGGUUAUUCAGGAGUUAGUUAGACUCUGUUAUAGGGUUGUUAUAAUUCUGUUUUUUUAAUUGGUUAGGAGAAGUUGUGAACUGAAUGUUUCUAAAAAUCUGUUUGCAGUUGGUAGCUUGGUUUAGAAAUAAUG